GAUCAUGGCUCAGGAUGAACGCUAGCUACAGGCUUAACACAUGCAAGUCGAGGGGAAACGACAUCGAAAGCUUGCUUUGAUGGGUGUCGACCGGCGCACGGGUGAGUAACGCGUAUCCAACCUGCCCACCACUUGGGGAUAACCUUGCGAAAGUAAGACUAAUACCCAAUGAUAUCCCACGAAGGCAUCGGAAUGGGAUUAAAGAUUUAUCGGUGAUGGAUGGGGAUGCGUCUGAUUAGCUUGUUGGCGGGGUAACGGCCCACCAAGGCGACGAUCGGUAGGGGUUCUGAGAGGAAGGUCCCCCACAUUGGAACUGAGACACGGUCCAAACUCCUACGGGAGGCAGCAGUGAGGAAUAUUGGUCAAUGGACGCAAGUCUGAACCAGCCAAGUAGCGUGCAGGAUGACGGCCCUAUGGGUUGUAAACUGCUUUUAUGCGGGGAUAAAGUGUGGGACGUGUCCCAUAUUGUAGGUACCGCAUGAAUAAGGACCGGCUAAUUCCGUG
This 504-nucleotide ribosomal RNA is filed under the name uncultured bacterium. Its description in RNAcentral is "bacterial SSU rRNA". It matches the Rfam family "Bacterial small subunit ribosomal RNA", at positions 15 to 507 of the family's 1533-position model. The record is from RNAcentral.